RNAcentral lists this long non-coding RNA (581 nucleotides) under Ananas comosus (pineapple). Its description in RNAcentral is "long non-coding RNA (ACOM_LNC022739)". The record is from RNAcentral. Lineage: Eukaryota; Viridiplantae; Streptophyta; Magnoliopsida; Poales; Bromeliaceae.
AUGACGGUCAGAAAAAAAUACACGCAUACCAAUAUAUAAUAGUAUAAAAUAUUUAUUUUCUUUAGUAUUAAAAUAUUUUAACUGUUUAUUAUAUAUCUUUAUCAAAAUUUUUGAAUUUUAUUGAGAAAUCACUUAUCAAUUUAAAAAUGGAGAGUGUUGAAUUGUGCCACAAAUACGAAAAUUGUAUCGUGUCAAUAUUUUGUUAGCACGAUACAAUAUGCUAGAUACGAUCCGUACCGAUUGACACUUAAAUUCUUGGUCUAGCAUCAUUUAAAGCUACGAAUUAGUUGUCAUGCAAUAAGAAAAUAAAUAUAAAAACAUGGCAGAGCUCCCUGGUUGAUUAUGAAGUUUAUUCAUACUCAAUCAGGGAGAAAGAAUGAGGAAAAAUUUCGGGCUAACAUGGUGGAAGUGGUAAAAGGCUUAGUGGUUGGUAUUCGAAAUUCAAAUUUAAAUUUUAGUUGAUUCAUAUUUUAAGCUAAGUUUAUUUUUAAAUAAAAUAAACGAAGCAGAUAGUGUGCUAUCUAUCUCUUAAAAAUAAAAAAAAUAAAAAAUAAAAACAUGGUGGAAGUGGUUGUGUGGGU